AGUGAACGCUGGCGGCAGGCCUAACACAUGCAAGUCGAGCGGCAGCGGGUCCUUCGGGAUGCCGGCGAGCGGCGGACGGGUGAGGAAUGCGUCGGAAUCUGCCUUUUUGUGGGGGAUAACGUAGGGAAACUUACGCUAAUACCGCAUACGACCUACGGGUGAAAGUGGGGGACCGCAAGGCCUCACGCAGAAAGAUGAGCCGACGUCGGAUUAGCUAGUUGGCGGGGUAAAGGCCCACCAAGGCGACGAUCCGUAGCUGGUCUGAGAGGAUGAUCAGCCACACUGGAACUGAGACACGGUCCAGACUCCUACGGGAGGCAGCAGUGGGGAAUAUUGGACAAUGGGCGCAAGCCUGAUCCAGCCAUGCCGCGUGUGUGAAGGAGGCCUUCGGGUUGUAAAGCACUUUUGUCCGGAAAGAAAUCCUGUCGGCUAAUACCCGGCGGGGAUGACGGUACCGGAAGAAUAAGCACCGGCUAACUUCGUG
Molecule: ribosomal RNA, 484 nt
Filed under: uncultured bacterium
Lineage: Bacteria
Description: partial 16S ribosomal RNA
Rfam family: Bacterial small subunit ribosomal RNA
Source: RNAcentral